Molecule: long non-coding RNA, 794 nt
Filed under: Bos taurus (domestic cattle)
Lineage: Eukaryota; Metazoa; Chordata; Mammalia; Artiodactyla; Bovidae
Description: long non-coding RNA NONBTAT010942
Source: RNAcentral
ACCUCAUUAGUGAGUAACCCAGAAAAAUGUUGACAUAUUAAAAGUAUUUGUCACAAGUUAAUAUUGUAUACUCAAUAUCUUGUUAACACAUUAUACUUCCAGUAUUUCAGAUAAGUAAUAUAAGAAGAAAAGGGAGGCAAUUUAAAUUUAGAUUUUUGUGAUUUUCUUUUUAAAGGGUACAUUCCACCAACAGUGUUGAAAUUGGGAGUUAGUUGCUUGCUGCAUACUUCACUAGACUUUAGCUGAGACCGCUGUAGAAGGUGUGUAAUGUCUUCAAGCAAAAUGAGAAAUGGAGCCAUAAUGUUAAUUAAUAUCUUGAGUACAUAAGCAAUAAGUUUGUCAUUGUUUUCUCUCAUCUUAAAUUAACUGAGAAAGACCCAGUUUCCUGAUAAAGACAAAAAUUUGACUAAUGGCAGUUUUCAGAGAUAUUUCAUCCUGUUUCUAACUUGAUGUACAUAAGUAAUUGUUCUCAUUAGUAUUCAUUCAUGGGACAGUACCCUACCAGGGCCUCCAAGAAAUGUGCAAAAAGUAUGGAGACAAAUAACAUUUAAUUCUGUCUCUCCCUUUGUGAAAAUAUGGUAAAAAUGUUUCUAAGGCUUCAUUAAAGGGGAGUUUACUUGGGGAUUUAGAAUUGAGACUUAGCCUCUGCUAGAGGUGGUAUGAAUAAUAUGAUGAACCAAAUUACUGUCCUAUUUAAAUAAUCCUAGGCUUUCCUUGGUAGCCUAAUGAAAAGUUGCUAGAAACUUAAGUGGAAGUGGCUUAAACUCCCAAUAUGUUUCACAGCCUCAUUUUUG